CACAUUUUUCUCAAAGCAGCUGGGGUUGCCAGAUACCCUUUUUAAUAUGGGACUUCCCAUAUUUAAGCCUCAAAUCUCAAAUGCUGUAUUAAAAACACGUGAUGCAUUGCCUGCUCUUGUAUUUCCUCUACAUUUUAAUAGGGGACACACGUUGUGAGGUUGAAACGCAGAAAAUCCUGCAGCUGCUUUCCUGCCCUGUUCUUAGAGCCUCCUCUGGGAGCACAGAGACACGAUCCAGUUGGUGGCUGUGACAGGAGCGAGAACUGGAGCAGCCCUAAGGAGCUGAGGAGGGCUGCAGGGCAAUGAGCACACUGAGGCACCAGAAAUGCACACCGGUGUAUUAAAGUUCAGAAUGCAGCAACUCCCCUCUGCUGCCCCACGUCAGGUGUGCUUGAUCCUCCUGCCAAGGACUCGCUAAUGUGAUAAGAAAAUAAAUAUUUUUGUUUUGUAGGCAAUACUUUUGCUUAUACAGCUCAGGAGAUAGCAAUCCAGGUCACUAACUUUGGCUUGGGAUUCUCUAUGAUCUCUCCUCUACAAAAUACUAGCCAGAUAGUCAUGCUUUGUCCUGCAUUUGGUUACUUGUUCUCUCUAAGUACCUUGUCACCUCGUCUUUACUGAAGUUGACUUCUUUUUCACCAGAACACUUCUCAACUUGUCAGGAUCAUUCUGACUUCCAAGUCCUGCCCUCCAUUGCUCUCGCCAUUUCUCCAAGCCUGGUGUCAUCUGUGCGUUUAAUAAGUCUGCUUGCUUAUAAAGCAUACAAAUUGUUAAAGAAAACACUAGAACCAGACCUUGGACAGAUCUUUGAACUAUAUGUGAUGUAUCUUUAAUUUAUUUCCUCAGAGAAGCAUCUACUCUGUUAUUUGGAGCAAUUCAGGAGCGGAACAGAUUCCCACAGACAAUUUCCAUGGAUACUACACAACACGGAGGUCUAAGCUUGCUUCCUCCGCUUCCAGAUGUGUGGAAUUACUGCAUUGCUCACAGCAUCAGCUCUUGUCUCUGGAAGCAAAGUCUGGAAGGCACCCCGACUGUCCUCAUCCCUCCCCUCCGCGGCAGUAUCACUGUUCUGUGGACACAUGUGCAGAUCUAGCUGGAGCUGAUGAUCAACCCAAAGGAGGAACCGUCUCAGUCCUGAGAAUACAAAAUAGCUACCACAAAAGACAGCAGUGGUUCGUCUGUGGGUUCCCAUGCAACUUGGAAAUACAAGAGAGAAAUCAUCAUUGCCUUUUGCAGCCUGUAAGAUUUGUGACAGCCAAUUGCAGCGAUAUCCAUAACUUCUGAAAAAGAAAACAUCAUUUUUCUCCUACUGGCAUAUCUCAACUGCACGAGAAGCGUUUCUUUCAGCAUCACCGAAGGCCUGGGAUAUCUCACUUCAUGAAUCACAUUAGAUGUCUUCUCCUAAUUUUGUACGACCAUCUGUGAAUCUUUCCAACCCAGGUUCCAUCAGGAGCAGGAUCUGGCAGUUGGAAGAGAUUUGAGACCAACUCACUUGAUCCUUUUCCUGCUUCUCAGGCUGAUGAUAUUUCAGCAUAAAAGGAGGCUUUGAGCUGGUGUUGACUGCUUUUUCUCCUCUUUUCAAGGUAGUGGCAAAUUCAUCCUUACGGAGUAAGGAUGUCUUUGCAGGAUCACUAAUACCCUUCUUGGUAAUUCAGUUGCAGUGCAAAGCUUUGGAUGACUGAAGUGGGAAGGACAGAGGAAAGAAAAGCAACCCAAAAGGGAAGUUAUCCUGAAGAGCAGGAAGGCUGAGAAUUGGGACCUCCAGUUUCUCUAAGCCUUCACCAGCACACCUGCUUGAGGGGCCGCAGAACUCCAAAGUUCAUCAAUACUAUGUGAAUCACUGCUGGAGACUGACAUUAGAAAUCCAUCUUCAUGCUGGCCUGGUUCCUCAUCUCCUACAUCACUAAAUUACAACUUAAAUCCAAAUAUCUCCCAAAUGUUUUGAUACAAGACCUAAAAAACCCCCAUUUCUCAGCUCCCUGAAGACUUCAUAGACCAUAUGCUUCUCAAAGGAGAAGUUAUGCUGUUUCACUUCUUUCUAAUGACUGUUGGCCAAUGGGAAAAUGUAUAACUGAACAACUUAGGUUAUGUCCGCUUGGAGAAGUUGAAGAUUUCAUUAGAUGCUGGACAACAAUAUUCACAUCCAAAGCACUCAAUUUCCAUGCUGCAUCAGGCUUAGUCUCAGUCUCCCCAGAACACAGUGAAAAGAUGUGACAGUAGCUUUCUGUGUAGAAAUAUAUUUGGCAAAUAUAUAAACCCUGCAGAGCAUCCCUUGAGAGGCUAAAGGAAUUUAAACUUAAGUCCCAUGCAGAUCUCCUCUAAGGUGUUAUUUUCCCCCCUAAAUACCAUGUUGAAAUUCUACUUUUACCAAGUUUAAAACUGGAAGAUACAUUAUGUUUGCAGAACUGGAAAUCUCAGUGAAUAAAUAAAUCUUGAGAAGCACAGCUACAGGGAAACAGGCACAGACCUUGCACCAUUCACAGCUUUAAAAAAAGUGUUGGAGCUUAGUAAAGCCAGCAUCACACACACAGCAAAUUAGAAGGAGGGCACGCUCUCCUCAUGAACUUGGGGAAAACCCACACAUUUCAAAAGCACAUAAUUCAGCUGUAAAAUGUUAACAACUGUUUUCCAGACUUCGCUUUGGUAUACAAAAUUCAGCCCAGAAACUCUUCCAUUUCACAAAGUAUGGUUCAAAUUAAGGGGAAAAAACAACCCUUUACAUAUCUUUGCAGUGUUUUUUUUUUUUUCUUUCCACAACACCAGAGUUCUGUCAAAGUGGGAAUCUUCAUAAAAACAACUAUUCAUAUUCUAUGGUUUAUUUAUGCAAAUUGGAUGGGCAAUGUUAAUUAAAUGAACACUUAGAUCUGUGUAGACCUUUUUACCAGUAGGUUUCAAGAAGAUAAAGUAUGAGAACCUUACUUUGGAACCAAAGAAAUGAAGAUCUGGAUAGGUUGGAUAGCUGGGCUGAAGCCAAUGGGAUGGGAUUCAACAAGACCAAAUGCCGGGUCCUGCACUUUGUCCACAAUAACCCCAGGCAACGCUACAGGCUUGGGGCAGAGUGGCUGGAAGACUGUGUAGAGGAAAUGGACCUGGGGGUGUUGAUUGACACUAGACUGAACAUGAGCCAGCAGUGUGCCCAGGUGGCCAAGAAGGCCAAUGGCAUCCUGGCUUGUAUCAGAAAUAGUGUGGCCAGCAGGAACAGGGAAGUAAUUAUCCCCCUGUACUCAGCACUGGUGAAGCCACACCUUGAGUACUGUGUCCAGUUUUGGGCCCCUCACUGUAAGAAAGACAUCGAGGCCCUGGAGCAUGUCCAGAGGAGGGCAACAAAGCUGGUGAGGGGUCUGGAGCACAGGCCUUAUGAAGAGCGGCUGAAGGAGCUGGGAUUGUUCAGUUUAGAGAAGAGGAGGCUCAGGGGAGACCUUAUUGCUCUCUAUAACUACCUGAAGGGAGUUUGUAGUGAGCUGGGGGUCGGCCUCUUCUCUCAGGUGACUAGUGAUAGGACUAGAGGGAAUGGCUUCAAGCUGCACCAGGGAAGAUUCAGGCUGGACGUUAGGAAAUACUACUUCUCUGAAAGGGUGGUCAGGCACUGGAAUGGGCUGCCCAGAGAGGUGGUGGAGUCACCGAACCUGGUGGUGUUCAAAGAGCGUUUGGAUGUUGUGUUGAGGGACAUGGUUUAGCGAGAACCAUUGGUGAUGGGCGAAUGGUUGGACUGGAUGAUCCUGUGGGUCUUUUCCAACCUUAGCGAUUCUAUGAUUCUAUAAGAAACAUUGUAAGUGACGUAUGAGCUGAUCUACCAGACUAGGAACCAAGCCAGGAGAAAGGCAAACGAAGGGAUGGAUGCAUGCAAUAAAAGCCUUCAAAUGAUGCCAGGCUGGAUUUUUUUCCUGUGACAGACAGUUAUUGUACAGUUAUGGUCUUCUAAUUAACCAGUUAAAGUACAGUUUCUGCAAUUGUCCUACAUAUGUAGGUACCUGGAUAUUAAGCCUAUAGUUUCAUGAAGUACAGAAAUUCAGUUCCCUCUGAUCCCCCUGAGAAGAAAACAGAGAACAAAACCAACCACCAUUUACCUUCCCCUGAACACCUCUGCUGGUAACAGCUUUGUAAAAUAUUCCUGUGCAAUAUCUACUGAGCAUUAGCAUUGUGCACUUCAUACAGUGAUGCAUCACUGUCCUUUGCUGCAAUUUUAGUUAAUUACCCCAUGAAAAACUUAAAAGAUUUAAGCUCAUAAAAAGUAGUAAAUAAUACAUAUCAGUAGUUUGAUUUCUUGCUACAACACAAAGUUGGAAGUUCAGCCUUCAGUAACCUCUGAGCUAUUCCUUAUCCCCACAGCUUCUGUGACAGUACUACAGGAACGUCUAUCUGUACACAGCAUACAAUAUUACCCUUUAUGAAGGCAGCACUGGAACGGAGAUAUAUAAUUAAUUACAUUCAAUUUAGCACCAUGGAUUUAAGGAUUUGCCUUCCAUUAGCAAACAGAGGAGGGAAACUUAGAAAGUAGAUAACAUCUAUUAUAGACAGAUCAUAUAAAUGACUAUUUCACACUUAUUUAAUCCUUCAAAAGCACUAUCAGAGAAAAUAGUUGUUUCUUAUAAGCAGAUGUACUGUUUGAAGGCACUCAGAGCAAUAUUCAGAUGCUGCUGUAUGGAGUGUGUGUUAAGGAAAGCCCAAAGCAGUUGGGACAGUCUGCUGUAAGCUGGCAGGGUGAGGGCAGAGGCUGCAGACACAGUGCAUGGAUGGAUGUGUGCAUGGCUGGGGAUAGAUGCAUGGCCACGCUGCCAAAGAGACCUGCCUUGUUCUUGGGCUGGGUGUAGAGACAACAACCCUGAUCUUCAGCGCAAUGGGCAUGCAGCAAGACUGAACAGAAAAGAAGAUACUGGGAGGAAAGUGAUGGCUUGAGACUUUUUUUCCCUGAAAAAUCAGAAAAAACCCCAACUCUGCUACAACCAAAAAUCCAGUCAUCCAAAACAUUUCAUCUGUGAAAAGAAUUCAAAUUCAAUUAUUGACUGCACAACAAAUUACUGCAUCUCAGUCAGAGGCCGUGCGUGGAAGCUGAAACACUGAGAACACAGCUAGAACGUAUUCCAAACGCAGCCUUCACCCAGGACUCUCUGAAGCACAGUCGACAUCAGAGACAGCAGAGCAGGAAAUAUGUUCUCAGAUGGAAAGGUCUGCUACAUUCCUCCAAGAAUUGCCCUCUAGAGCCGGAGCCUCUUUGUCUAACAGGUACAGCUGAGGCAGGUCCCUGUGCUUUGAAACACUGCUGUUAGAGAAGAAUCGAGGUAUGGCUUUUGGUUCAAGACUGAAUGGUUGGUACUGACAAAAUCUGGAGUAGGCAGCAGGACUCUGCUUUCACGUAUACAUUUGUUUCACAGCCUGAAGCUGGAAAAGCUUUAAUUUAAAUCUUACUGAUAAAAUAGAAAAAAAAGCUAUUGAUCUUAAUUUUUUUAGCAUGCAUGGUAUUUUUAUUAAUGAUUAAUAACCUUACUAUACUAUCACAAUAUAUCUGUAUAUGUAUUUUUCUUGUUAAAGUAUACAAUUUAGGUGUAAAACAUUUCAUUUGAUUCAUCUCCAACACUACUAACCUUUUCUUACUUAAAUCUGUAAUGCAAAUCUAUAAAAAUCACCAUCAGCUAUAACAGAUGAGUCCAUUGAAAGGCAGUGGCCCUAGGGAUGGCUCUGACCUCCUGAUCUUUCCAUCGCCACUGCUCACACAGCCAGGACUCCUUUGUCCAGAUCAAACCUUUCAGUAGCUGGCACUGAUGAUCAGAGCAAAGCAACUCUCCCACAUCUCUCUGGACAUGGCUUUUAUGCUCCUCUGCAUCUCCAUGAGACUAAACAACAAUCAGCAUUUGACUCUAAAACUCUUUUCAUGGCCAUCUUAUAGUUCAGACACGGUCCCCCCAGGAACCUGUAGCAUGGGGGUCAUAGAAAUCUCAUCCUGUUCCCCCUAGAUACAUUCACAUAUUUCCACAUCAGGUAGAAUACAUGUAGCAAAACCAAACUGGGCAUGCACAAUCACCUGUAGUUUCUUCAGGCAAGGCCACCUCAGAGAUGCAAGAAAAACAGUCUAGGAAAAGUUUUAGAGACCUUUUUCCUGCCAACAUACACAAACCUAGUUACUUUGUUCCAAGGGGCCAACUUCAUCAUGUACCAUACUGGUAGUUAAUUCGGCCUAAAUGCUUGCCAGUUUUUAAUACAGCUUCCCUAAAGUUCCUAUUAAUCUGGGGUGAAUAUAAAGUGCACUGCUUUCUCCCAGCUUGUUUCAUCCUCUGAUUACAUUCACAUAUUGUACGCAGCACAGCUGUGGACACUUCAGGAGCAGCCAUCCUGAAGAUGGAGAUUGACCAUCCAGUACAACCCACCCCAUCCCAACACUCUGAUUUUCUUUCUGUAGGGUUUCACCAUCGAUUGUAGCCUUCCCAAAUCUUAUCUAACACUAUCUCAUCUAGUCUGUGUUCCAAAAUUCGAUUUAUGCACCUGUAUUCAUUCAUUUUUCACUUGGCUUUGCUGUAAUGUCUAACAGCAGAGAUAGCAUUUGUACUUCUGAUAGCUCAAAAGUUUACACAUCAUUUGAAAGCCAUGCAUUUGCAGAUAGAUAAAAAUAGUCUUCGUGUUUUAAUUAAGUGUUUGCAGUGCAACAGUCAGCGUUGGCAAUGGCAACAGUCAGUUACAGCUAAUGAUACCUUUUGAUAAAGGCAUCAAAUUGUUUUACCCCCAAACCAACCUGUACUACUUUGAGUAAUUUCUGCUGGCACCUCUGGCUUAUGUGCUGCUGAUGGUCAGUUUUUAUCCUAUUGAUGUGUACUGUUAUGGUAAUUGGAGGCUAUUUUAGACUAUUUGUGUUUACCCUUAUUGCUAGUUAAUCCCCCCAGAAUUGUGAAGCAUCACUCACAGAUUUUCCAUGUUAGCUGUUAUUUUGCCACUUCUGCACAGAAACUUGCUUGAAACCACCUCAAAUCACAGAUUUGUUGGCCAAGUUCCUAUUACCCUCAGCAGCUCUGUAUUAGGACCUACGUGGCUCAAUUAAUCAGGUGGCUAACACCAAGCAAGUCUAAAGACAAGGAUGAAUGGAAAGCAUCCUGGGGGACAGCUGUGCAGGAAAAUUAAAGUCAAAAAGGAAAGUUGCAGCAGAGACCACAGUAGGACAGAGGAGGAGCUCCUGGCUGUGAGCUGUCUGCAGCUCCAGGAGCCCUGGCUUUUGGCACUUUGUGAAGAAUUGCAGCUGCUGAUGCUGUCAAUAGUCCAGAAAAAGUAGCAGCUGCAAGGGAAGGAGGGAGGACUGCUUGGGACUUCCUGACUGACCUCACACUUCUGUAGCCCAGAUCAUUUCUCCUUCUCCUGCCAUACUUCACCCAUAAAAACACUGAUUACUAUGAUUUCAUGCAGGUGGAGGAAAUUUCACUUUCACGGCUUCAGAGUUGUUUCAUUUUCAGAUCCUAAGGGUUUCCACAGCUUGGAGAGAUCACAGGAGUGAUUUUUUCAAGCGUGGGGCUUGGGGGCUCUCAGUGUUGGGACCUGCCUUUUUACUACUGCUGGAAAGGUCCAGAACUUGAGGGUUGAAAACUAUCAAGUGAACAUCAUACAACAAAAUACAAUUUUCACAGAAAAUGGUUUCUCUUUGUUAAAUUUCACAUCUACUCAUUGUAAAAGCAUCCCCAUAAAACAAACAAAAAAAAGUGUUCAUGUUAUUUUGUGUGAAAAGACAAAACACUUAUUAGAAGGCAUAACACUUUUUGAUUCUUGUCUUACAGAAUAAGCUACGAAUCCUCAACAUAUAAAGUGACUAUAAAGUAAAAACUAAUUUCUCAUGUAGUUAUUCUGUUCCUGAGACCUUUCUGGCUAUCUAAUAUAUUUCCAAAGGAACAUGUUGUUUUGAUAACUGAAUACUCAAUUAGAUAUUCCUCUAGCAAACCAAUUCAGAACUUCCUAUCACGAUCUUCUGUACAGCUACACAGAUAGGGCAUAUAAUUGGACAAAACUUUUCACAGCCACAAGAUUAAGUUUCUUCUUUAAUAAAUAAUUCUUUUUAUUAUUAAAACAUAUGUUAAAUGUAUAUUGUAGACAACUGUAUAGCCAUUUUGGAAGGCUUAUAGUAAGACCCUGUGAUGCUAUACUGAGAUGACAAUAGCAGAGUGGCAAAGUCUUUGGCUACAGCAAAUGAGAAUGAGCCCAAAUUCAGCAGCCACAGAUGCAGAGACAGAUAAAAAGAGCUACUUACUUCUAGAAGGCCUCAGAAAAGCAGGGAACCCUGGCAAGAUAUGCCCUCACCUCCACUGACAACCCUUAAAUGAGGUCUGGGAAGGGGUGGAUCCUGGCUGCACCCCUUCCAGUCACUCAGGUGCAUUGCAUACACCUGAGCUCCUUUGGGUUUGCCCUGCCUUCCCACCGGGUGCUCAAUUGCUGUUUCAGACCAUGACUUAGCAUUUCCACUACAGACCUGAAGCCCUUCAUGUCUGUGUUAUGCUUUAGGGUCUCUGUGAAAGACUGUAGAAUGGGAAAAUCCAUCUGAGCUCAUAACCAUGGGCAGCUGGGACCACGGAGUCAUCUCCUUACUGUUGUUUUGAGCCACCUCUUUGGAACUGCUUGGAUGGAUGCAGCUCCUAGCUGGGUCACAGCUAGCAGCACUGCCAAGUCUGUGAAUGGCUUUUUGACAUGGAAAGUCUACUAGCAGUAGAAGGGCUGGGGGUUGGUAUCUAUUGUACAAUCUAAAGCUAGAUCAGAAGAGAUGGAUAUAUGAAGGAUAUUGAACCCUUACUGUGGAAUAGGUUGGAGUACUCCAGUUUUCCUUCUAAAAAACCAAGAAAAUAUAGCAAGAAAAAAGGCUGGUAGGAAUUUUCUUUCUAAUUUCUCAUUUUCUCCUGCAUCAACAAGUUUCACUCAGUCCUUGAGAACAGAUCCAGGCAUUUUUCACCCCAAGCCCUCCUGGCUGCUGCUCACAAAGGACAACCACUGUUCCUUGGCUUACCAAGCACUUAUCUAGAGGGAUGCUGUCCCAAAAGCUCUCUGCUUAAUAAAAACAUUCCAUCCAUCACACAUCAUAAAAAUGAAAUAGAGGGGCAUCAGACAGCAAACAUAAACACUCCCACAGACCUCUUACCACUGUAAAAUAAUUUAUGGGGUUGAAACUACAUUGGCAUACUGUCACUGGUAAUGUUCCCACUGGCUUACCAGCACCUACAGUUUUUUUGGCUGUUUGCAGAACAAUUCCAGCUCUGCUUCCAGCUCAACAAGUAAUUUUAUUUGGGUCUGGCUCUUAAGAAAGUCUCAGAUGUGUCCAACUGUCCCUCACUGAGUAGAAAACUGUGUUGAGCUACAUCAGAGUAGCCAUAGGUAAGUUCAUUUUAAGCUUUGUGGCUUUUUAUAGAAUAAUUCCAAAGAAAAGGUGUAAUUAAUUGCCACUGCCUCAUUUUUGUCCUCCUCAGACAUCUCAAAGAAAUCACUGCAAGAGGCCUAGGCAACAAAAAUCUUUCUUACAAGAAGACAGUCUUUCAUUACCACAAAAGCCUCUCCCAGGGAGCAGCUCUGAAACCAAACAGAAAGCCUCAGGCAGAUUCAAUUGGGUUUUGGGAGACUUUGCAAUGCUAAGACACUACUUAAAGGUACUUCUCAUAUCUAACAUAGCGCUGAGCUUUUACAAACAUAAAUCUUAUGGAUACAGAAUACAAAGCUCAUUACAAAAUCUACAUCACAUGACUUGGCCGAUUUUAUUUGAAUGCCCUUUCCUAGCUGUGCAUUUCUCUCUUUUUCACUAUUACAACAGUGUGUGGCUACCCUGAGAAGUUUUACCACUGAAAUGAAUUGCAAAGUGUAUGAUGCCUACUACUGUACCACUGCACACUUUUCCAGCACUAGUUAGAGAAUGCUAGAAUGAGAGUCCUAAAGGAAUUCUGUACCUUUAUAACCUCAUAAACUUAGAAGCUUAAUUCUUUGUAAGCUCAUUGAGAUCAGUUGAAAAAUAUGGCUGGGUCGAGUGUGUUGGAUAGGGGGGAAAAUGCAUUGGAAAUGUGUCAUUGCAGAGUGUUUGCUCAGCCUUAGGUGGGAAAUGAGAGACACAGCAGAUACAGGAUAUAGAGAGGGAGAAAUGCAAGCCAUUCAAAUAAUGCAGAAGCUGCCUUCCCAGUAAAGACUCCUGUUGUUACAGUCACUUAAGUUCAAAAGGGAAAAAUAAUGAUGGACUGUGUCCUUAAAUAAUGUCGGAAUAUUCGAGCGCAGUUACCUGAAAAAAUGCAGGAUAAAUUUGGAAAGCCUAUGGUGUUAGAUAUAAAAGUCAGCUUGCACAGAGCUAAGACCAGACUUCUGUGCUGAUAAUAUAGGUAAAUAAGGUAAUACUUAGUUGAAAAAGUGUGGCUUGGAAUUCUUUUUCUGUUUGCAUCUCUUGAGUCACAUACAAAUACACUGAGAGUUAAAAAUGGGAAAAAUCACAGUAAUGGCUUUAUUUAUGAAAGCUGCCACUUCUUUUGCCAAGUCAUUUGGAGUGUUCUGCAGCAAAAUAAACAUAUGGUGAAAAUAUAAACACAGAGAUAUGAAAACAACCUCUUCACAUUUAAACAAGAGUCAUUUGAGAAAAAUGCCAAAUAAAAAACUAGAAAAAGGAAGAAGACAGAGGAUAGAGUCAAAAUGAUAAAUCAUGGCUCUAAUGUGAUGUAACUAAAAUAUCUCCGAAGCAGAAUGCGAGGAGAGCCAGAAAUGUCUUCUAAGGUGAUGACUUAUGGCAAAGUGUGGGAGGGGAAAGCAGUUACUGGGGCCAAUGCAGAUGCCAUCCAGCACUGAAACUCAUGAGAAAGAAACACCACAGACAUCUGCAUGGCGAGUUGCACCUCCGUCAUUCUGAAGAAAAAAAAGGAAUGAGAAAAGAUGAAAGCUUUCUCCCCUGCAAGUAAGACCUGGCCCACUAGCCUGCACUCCAAGGAUGUGUUGCUGCCACGGCAGAUGAAGAAGCAGCCUUCAUGGGACAAACCAGCAUCUCGUGUGGCCCAGCCUCCAAAGGAAAGACUUACCUCAAGAAGGUGUCCCUGUCUGAGGGGGUCUGUUGCGUCCCUUAGCCUCAUCUACUCUCUAUUCCUUUUCCUGCCUUAAUUUCUAAGCUGCAGAGGGUCAUAGGAAAGGGGACAGUCUGAUCCAGAAAAUAUCCUGUAGGAAUUCAAGAGUACAAGGGACUGGUGACAACAGAUGACAACAGAUCUUAGUGUUGUCAUCAGGUACUAAGUCCAUACAGCUCCUAACACUGCUGAGGCUCCUAAGGUGAAGGUAACCUACAACCUGCUUAGUGUGACAAACAGAAUGCUGAAAGCUUCCUAUAACAGAGCUCCUGAUGGCACCAGUAUGAAGAUGCACAGGAACUACCUCUGAACUACUCAAGCAAGUGCCUACAAACCAGUUAUUCAUUUCUAACUUUUGAAAUCAGACUUAAAAGGAGACACAUUAAAAAAUAAACAAUGCAUGCAUGUUCUCCUCUUGCAUAAAUCUUUGCUUUUCCCUCUGUAACUUUAAGUCUUCAAAACUAACCAGAAAGAGUUCCUGGUCAGGAAUAAGCUCUAAGCACUUUCAUGAUGUCGAAUACCCUCAC
Molecule: long non-coding RNA, 11563 nt
Organism: Gallus gallus (chicken)
Lineage: Eukaryota; Metazoa; Chordata; Aves; Galliformes; Phasianidae
Source: Ensembl